This 438-nucleotide ribosomal RNA is filed under the name Granulicatella adiacens. Its description in RNAcentral is "bacterial SSU rRNA". It matches the Rfam family "Bacterial small subunit ribosomal RNA", at positions 28 to 450 of the family's 1533-position model. The record is from RNAcentral. Lineage: Bacteria; Bacillati; Bacillota; Bacilli; Lactobacillales; Carnobacteriaceae.
GACGAACGCUGGCGGCGUGCCUAAUACAUGCAAGUCGAACGAGAGCGAUCGGUGCUUGCACUGGUCAAUCUAGUGGCGAACGGGUGAGUAACACGUGGGUAACCUGCCCAUCAGAGGGGGAUAACAUUCGGAAACGAAUGCUAAAACCGCAUAGGUCUUCGAACCGCAUGGUUUGAAGAGGAAAAGAGGCGCAAGCUUCUACUGAUGGAUGGACCCGCGGUGCAUUAGCUAGUUGGUGAGGUAACGGCUCACCAAGGCCGUGAUGCAUAGCCGACCUGAGAGGGUGAUCGGCCACAUUGGGACUGAGACACGGCCCAAACUCCUACGGGAGGCAGCAGUAGGGAAUCUUCCGCAAUGGACGCAAGUCUGACGGAGCAACGCCCGCGUGAGUGAAGAAGGGUUUUCGGGAUCGUAAAAACUCCUGUUGUUAAGAGAAAG